UCCUACUUGUAAGAAAAAUAUUGCUAAUAACAUGAAUCGGUGAUGUUUUUUUUUCAGCACUUACUCUGUACCUGGUUCCUUGCCUGUUUCUGACGUCACUCCUCACAAACACAAUUCUAUGAAGGAUGAAGGACUCCAUUUUACAGAUGGAGCUUGCAAAGCUCAAGGAGUUUGAUUGACUUGCUCAAGGUCACAGAGCUAGGCAGUGACAGAGGCAAGAUUUGAAACCAAGGCCUGUUCAUCCCAGGAGUCCAUGUUCUUCAUUGGGAGUCAAUUCAACUUCUCAUCUAAUGGCGGAAGCCUCCUGUGAAUGCUCAAUGAUGUUCCUCUGGACUCCUUGUGCAAAGCUCUGUCCUAACACUUCUCUCAUCACUGGCCAAUAAACAAUUUGAAAGCAGAGACCAUGAAAUCCUGGGCUCUAUCACUUGCCAGCAGUGUGACCCCGAACAAAGCACUUCAUCUCUGAGCUUGUUUCCUCAUCAGUAAAAUGGGGAUGAUGAUGAUGAUGAUGAUGAUGAUGAUGAUGAUGAUGUGAGAGUUAGCUCAAGUACCAUAUCAUUUGCCAGGAUUGCAAUAGCAGUUGUUCAAUAGCAAUAAAUAUGUUUUUAUCUGUUC
Long non-coding RNA from Myotis lucifugus (little brown bat), 615 nucleotides. RefSeq lists it as uncharacterized. The record is from RefSeq and is a predicted model, not a curated record. The transcript is spliced from 2 exons. Lineage: Eukaryota; Metazoa; Chordata; Mammalia; Chiroptera; Vespertilionidae.